UAUAUGAUUAAAAUCUCGACGUUUCAGUCCACGUCCUGGGCUUUCUUCAGGAAACAAAAACAAUAACAUAUCAGCCUAAAGUGCUGCAAUAUAUACCCAUAAAUAGGAGGAAAAGAGAGGAGGAAAUUAAAGAAAUUAAACUCACCACAGGUGAUGUAUGUUUGCCAGAUCGGCGUGUGCUUUGAGUCUGUGCGUCUGCAUAGGGGUAUCACAACCCGCAAGUACUGUGCGGGGACGUUAUUUCCAGCGCUCAGAUGAGCUCGGUGCAUGUGCACAUGCAUGGGGGUAUCUUAACCCGGAAAUAUUGUGCAUAGACACGACCUUGUUUACAUGGUUACAUGCCCUCGCAAGAGGGCACCAUGGAAACCAUAGUAAAC
Molecule: non-coding RNA, 377 nt
Organism: Pelobates cultripes (western spadefoot toad)
Lineage: Eukaryota; Metazoa; Chordata; Amphibia; Anura; Pelobatidae
Source: the annotation of a GenBank genome assembly